GCUUUAGGCAUGCAAGUCGAACGAGAGAGUCUUCGGGGUGAGUAGAGUGGCGAACGGGUGAGUAACACGUGGGCAACCUGCCCCUCGCAGGGGGAUAACCGGAGGAAACUCCGGCUAAUACCCCGUAAGCUUUCAGGGUCGCAUGGCCCUGUAAGGAAAGGUAGCUUCGGCCAUCCGGCGAGGGAUGGGCCCGCGGUGCAUUAGCUAGUUGGUGGGGUAACGGCCCACCAAGGCGACGAUGCGUAGCUGGUCUGAGAGGAUGAUCAGCCACACUGGGACUGAGACACGGCCCAGACUCCUACGGGAGGCAGCAGCCAGGAAUCUUGGGCAAUGGGCGAAAGCCUGACCCAGCAACACCGUGUGGGCGAUGAAGGCCUUCGGGUCGUAAAGCCCUGUUGAUAGGGACGAAGGGCGAAGGGUUAAUAGCCCCUAGCCUGACGGUACCUUUCGAGGAAGCCCCGGCUAACUACGUGCCAGCAGCCGCGGUAAUACGUAGGGGGCGAGCGUUGUCCGGAAUUAUUGGGCGUAAAGAGCGUGUAGGCGGUUCGGUAAGUCUGCCGUGAAAACCUGAGGCUCAACCUCGGGCGUGCGGUGGAUACUGCCGGGCUAGAGGACGGUAGAGGCGAGUGGAAUUCCCGGUGUAGCGGUGAAAUGCGCAGAUAUCGGGAGGAACACCAGUAGCGAAGGCGGCUCGCUGGGCCGUUCCUGACGCUGAGACGCGAAAGCUAGGGGAGCGAACAGGAUUAGAUACCCUGGUAGUCCUAGCCGUAAACGAUGGACACUAGGUUUGGGGGGAGUCGAAUCCCUCUGUGCCGCAGUUAACGCGUUAAGUGUCCCGCCUGGGGAGUACGGCCGCAAGGCUAAAACUCAAAAGAAUUGACGGGGGCCCGCACAAGCAGCGGAGCAUGUUCUUUAAUUCGAUGCAACGCGAAGAACCUUACCUGGACUUGACAUGGUGCUGCAAGCGCACGGAAACGUGUGACCUUCGAGGGUGCACCACAGAUGCUGCAUGGCUGUCGCCAGCUCGUGUCGUGAGAUGUUGGGUUAAGUCCCGCAACGAGCGCGACCCCUGUGAACUGUCGCCACCGAGCCGUGAGGCUCGAGCACUCUGUUCAGACUGCCCCGCUCUAACGGGGAGGAAGGUGGGGACGACGUCAAGUCAGUAUGGCCCUUACGGCCUGGGCUGCACACGUACUACAAUGCCCAGUACAGAACGAUCCUAGACCGCGAGGUGGAGGAAAUCACUAAAACUGGGCCCAGUUCAGAUUGAAGUCUGCAACUCGACUUCAUGAAGCCGGAAUCGCUAGUAAUGGCGUAUCAGCUACGACGCCGUGAUCACGCUCCCGGGCAUUGUACUCACCGC
Molecule: ribosomal RNA, 1363 nt
Filed under: uncultured bacterium
Lineage: Bacteria
Description: bacterial SSU rRNA
Rfam family: Bacterial small subunit ribosomal RNA
Source: RNAcentral